UACGGAGGGUGCAAGCGUUAUCCGGAUUUACUGGGCGUAAAGGGCUCGUAGGUGGCCAACUAAGUCAGACGUGAAAUCCCUCGGCUUAACCGGGAAACUGCGUCUGAUACUGGAUGGCUUGAGUUUGGGAGAGGGAUGCGGAAUUCCAGGUGUAGCGGUGAAAUGCGUAGAUAUCUGGAGGAACACCGGUGGCGAAGGCGGCAUCCUGGACCAACACUGACACUGAGGAGCGAAAGCCAGGGGAGCAAACGGG
Molecule: ribosomal RNA, 253 nt
Filed under: uncultured bacterium
Lineage: Bacteria
Description: partial 16S ribosomal RNA
Rfam family: Bacterial small subunit ribosomal RNA
Source: RNAcentral